UGGCGCACGGGUGCGUAACGCGUGGGAAUCUGCCCUUCGGUUGGGAAUAACACAGAGAAAUUUGUGCUAAUACCUUAUAAUGUCUUCGGACCAAAGAUUUAUCGCCGAGGGAUGAGCCCGCGUAGGAUUAGGUAGUUGGUGGGGUAAUGGCCUACCAAGCCGACGAUCCUUAGCUGGUCUGAGAGGAUGAUCAGCCACACUGGGACUGAGACACGGCCCAGACUCCUACGGGAGGCAGCAGUGGGGAAUAUUGGACAAUGGGCGAAAGCCUGAUCCAGCAAUGCCGCGUGAGUGAUGAAGGCCUUAGGGUUGUAAAGCUCUUUUACCCGGGAUGAUAAUGACAGUACCGGGAGAAUAAGCUCCGGCUAACUCCGUGCCAGCAGCCGCGGUAAUACGGAGGGAGCUAGCGUUGUUCGGAAUUACUGGGCGUAAAGCGCGCGUAGGCGGUUACUCAAGUCAGAGGUGAAAGCCCGGAGCUCAACUCCGGAACGGCCUUUGAAAC
This 502-nucleotide ribosomal RNA is filed under the name uncultured Sphingomonadaceae bacterium. RNAcentral's name for it is "bacterial SSU rRNA". It matches the Rfam family "Bacterial small subunit ribosomal RNA", at positions 96 to 633 of the family's 1533-position model. Lineage: Bacteria; Pseudomonadati; Pseudomonadota; Alphaproteobacteria; Sphingomonadales; Sphingomonadaceae. The record is from RNAcentral.